CAUAUACUCCCUCCAUCCCAAAUUAUUGUCUUAGAUUUGUCUAGAUAUAAAUGUAUGCAGUCACGUUUUAGUAUUUAGAUACAUCCUUUUCUAGACAAAUCUAAGACAAAAAAUUUAGGACGGAGAAAGUAUAAG
Non-coding RNA from Hordeum vulgare subsp. vulgare (domesticated barley), 135 nucleotides. NCBI's taxonomy places the organism in Eukaryota, Viridiplantae, Streptophyta, Magnoliopsida, Poales, Poaceae. The record is from Rfam.